GUCUUGGUAGCUCAGAUGGUUAGAGCACUGCCCUGAUAAGGCAGAGGUCGUAGGUUCAAGUCCUGCCUGAGACA
RNAcentral lists this transfer RNA (74 nucleotides) under Clostridia bacterium. Its description in RNAcentral is "tRNA-Ile". It matches the Rfam family "tRNA". Rfam says of the family: Transfer RNA (tRNA) molecules are approximately 80 nucleotides in length. Their secondary structure includes four short double-helical elements and three loops (D, anti-codon, and T loops). RNAcentral also lists the same sequence under 1 other name. The record is from RNAcentral. Lineage: Bacteria; Bacillati; Bacillota; Clostridia.